This 22-nucleotide ribosomal RNA is filed under the name Howardula dominicki. RNAcentral's name for it is "partial 5.8S ribosomal RNA". The record is from RNAcentral. Lineage: Eukaryota; Metazoa; Nematoda; Chromadorea; Rhabditida; Allantonematidae.
CUCACCUUGUCGGUGGAUCACU